RNAcentral lists this ribosomal RNA (362 nucleotides) under uncultured Clostridium sp. RNAcentral's name for it is "bacterial SSU rRNA". It matches the Rfam family "Bacterial small subunit ribosomal RNA", at positions 1022 to 1382 of the family's 1533-position model. Lineage: Bacteria; Bacillati; Bacillota; Clostridia; Eubacteriales; Clostridiaceae. The record is from RNAcentral.
CGGAGCAGGAAGACAGGUGGUGCAUGGUUGUCGUCAGCUCGUGUCGUGAGAUGUUGGGUUAAGUCCCGCAACGAGCGCAACCCUUUAUCGUUAGUUGCUACCAUUAGGUUGAGCACUCUAGCGAGACUGCCCGGGUUAACCGGGAGGAAGGUGGGGGAUGACGUCAAAUCAUCAUGCCCCUUAUGUCUAGGGCUACACACGUGCUACAAUGGUGAGGACAAAGAGACGCAAGACCGCGAGGUGGAGCAAAUCUCACAAAACCUCAUCCCAGUUCGGAUUGCAGGCUGAAACUCGCCUGCAUGAAGCCGGAGUUGCUAGUAAUCGCGAAUCAGCAUGUCGCGGUGAAUACGUUCCCGGGCCUU